AUUGAACGCUGGCGGCAGGCUUAACACAUGCAAGUCGAACGAUAGGCGGACGGGAGUGUAAUGCUUGGGAAUCUGGCUUAUGGAUGGGGAUAACGACGGGAAACUGUCGCUAAUACCGCGUACCAUAAGCUGAGCCCAAGUGGGAUGUGGUAGUUGGUGGGGUAAUGGCCUACCAAGCCGAUGACCUCUAACUGGUCUGAGAGGAUGACCAGCAACCCCGGAACUGAGACACGGCCCGGAUUCCUACGGGAGGCAGCAGGGGGGAAUAUUGCGCAAUGGGGGCAACCGGACGCAGCCAGGCCGCGUGAGUGAAGAAGGCCUUCGGGUUGUAAAGUUCUUUCAGUGACGAGGCGUUAAUCACAGAAGAAGCACCGGCUAACUCCGUGCCAGCAGCCGCGGUAAUAC
RNAcentral lists this ribosomal RNA (405 nucleotides) under uncultured bacterium. RNAcentral's name for it is "partial 16S ribosomal RNA". It matches the Rfam family "Bacterial small subunit ribosomal RNA", at positions 30 to 526 of the family's 1533-position model. The record is from RNAcentral.